CGAACCGCAGAUAACAGUGGAAGUGUCUUGCUUUGUUCGUGUUUCGUAAUUUAAUUUUUCAAGUAGUGCAAGUAAAUAUAGUGUGCGUCGUAGGCUAGAUUUGUGCGUCUAAAAUCAAUCUAGGCCAGCCGACGGCUAUAUCUCUUCCAAGCGCCAGGUCAGCGGAAACCCCGGGACGAGAGACCCCGGCAGCCUUCAACUUGUCCGGUAGGAAGCGAUCCGUCAGCAAAUCGCUUCAGUGGGGAAUUGUGGUCGUCAAUUGCCACCAUCGACCAAACCGCCAUUCGUCGACACGUGGAAGUCGCCAACCACCAUUCAUUGGCCCACGUGGCGAUCAUCAAUCGCCAACCGACAUCAGCGGUAACAGCAGCGCAGGUACAGCAGCAGCAGUAACCAUCUGGUGAGUCCGGACCAAUUAUUCUUGAGUAAAGUGUGGCGUCCGCUGAGGACGCCACGGAGAAGUUUUUUGUGCCAACCGUAGGUUGAAGAGCGUGAAUCGCUGAACAUUCAAACGUUUGGAUGAAUUGAGGUUGGGUGUCGGCGAGAUACAAAUCGUGCGCACGUAUCGUAAUUUAUGGCCGCCCACCCAACCCAUUCAAUGUAGACACCCGGGUGCAACAGCAUUAGCCGUUACGUUGCUGCAUCGUCGUCGCAUCACUGGGAAUGAAGACAUGAAAAACAAACACAAAAGCACAGAUAGAGUAGUUGAAACGCACACAGAUAGAAUAGGAUAGGUAAAGAGGAGAGAAAGUAAAUUAAUAUAAACAAGCAUGCUUGAUGAAAUAAAAUCUUACCGUUAAAUGUUGAAUAAACCUUUAUUGUAA
Long non-coding RNA from Armigeres subalbatus, 824 nucleotides. RefSeq lists it as uncharacterized. The record is from RefSeq and is a predicted model, not a curated record. NCBI's taxonomy places the organism in Eukaryota, Metazoa, Arthropoda, Insecta, Diptera, Culicidae. The transcript has 3 exons.